Molecule: long non-coding RNA, 3200 nt
Organism: Ailuropoda melanoleuca (giant panda)
Lineage: Eukaryota; Metazoa; Chordata; Mammalia; Carnivora; Ursidae
Exons: 3
Source: RefSeq, a predicted model, not a curated record
GGAAGAAGCAGGCUCAUAGCGGAGGAGCCUGAUAUGGAGCCCGAUCCCACAACGCCGGGAUCACGCCCUGAGCUGAAGGCAGACGCUUAACCGCUGUGCCACCCAGGCGCCCCAGCAGAACUCUUCUUGACGGGCAGGAGGGAGCACCUUCUUCCAUCAGCUUCUGUUUGACGCCCUGCCCCCAACCCCUGACACCUUAGGAUCGGGGUUUGGGGAACUACAGGGAGAAACUGUAAAUUAAGGUCCUACACUAUCUUCCCCACGCAGGGGCCCUUCAGCAGCCCUGGUGGUCUCUGGGGGCUGUUGGAAUGUUCCCUCUUGGGGGGUGGUAAGGUGAUUUAGUCCAGUUACAGGAUUGCCCAGAUUGGUCCCUCUGGGGCCCUUCAGCCUCUGGUGUGUUUGGUGUUUGCCCAGGUGCUGGAAGAGGUCCCCCGGGGCCGGGAGGGGAUGCACGGGGUAAACUUGGGAGUGGAGGGAAAGCAGAUCUCAGCUCCUUUACCGUUAAAUGGGCAUUUAUGGAAAUGAACUGCCACCGAGAGGACAGCCUGCACAAGCAUCUCUUUCUUUUUUUUUUUUUUUUAAGAUUUUAUUUAUUCAUGUGACAGAGAGACAGCCAUAGAGAGAGGGAGCACAGCAGGGAAGUGGGAGAGGAAGAAGCAGGCUCCCAGCGGAGGAGCCCGAUGUGGGACUCUAUCCCAGAACGCCGGGAUCACGCCUUGAGCCGAAGGCAGACGCUUAACGACUGAGCCACCCAGGUGCCACACGAGCAUCUCUUUCUAUCCAGAAGGAGCAUCCCGCCCCGUGCACGGUCCUGACCCGCCGUCGGCGAGUUUGCAGGACAUCCUGGGAGCCGCGGCAGCUGGUGCAAGAUGAGGACGGGGCUACCAGCUCCGAGUGCUCACCGGGUGGACAGUGAAUCGGGGUCUUUUUUUUUUUAUUGUGGUAAAAUACACAUAACACAAAAUUUACCGCCUUAACCGCUUCCCAGCGUCCCGUUACGGGGCAGCGACACUGUGGUGUAGCCCUCACCACCGUCCGUCUCCGAGCCCUUCCAUCUUGCAAAACUGCGACUGUCCCGAAGGAAAUCCUCACCCCCCAGCCCCUGGCCCCCACCGCCCCACUGUCUCAAGGAAUCCAACUGCUCUAGGGACUUCAGUCUUGCGGGGUCUGUCCUUGUGGUCCUUUUAAAGGUGGGCUUCCUGUGUGAGGUUCCCAAGUCCAUCUUCCCGACUCUUCACUCACCUGCUCAGAGCCAGGAAGGACCCUGGUUCCCGGGCCCCAGACCAGAGCCUGCCAGGAUCACUGAAUUGCACAGGUAGGACUUGGGAAGAGGGUGUAUUUCGGGGCCCCUGAAUGAACACAGGAAGGAUGAUUUACUUUGGGGCACCUGGGGGGCUCAGUUGAUGAAGCGUCUGACUCUUGAUUUUGGCUCAGGUCCUGAUCUCAGGGUCAUGGGAUCAAGCCCUGCAUGGGGCUCAGCGCUCAGUAGGGAGCCUGCUUGAGAUUCUCUCUCCCUCUGCCCCUCCCCCCACAUGCUCUUUCUCUAAAAUAAAUAAAUAAAUCUUAAAAACAGAUGAAAUAUUUCAAGCAUCAGAAAAAUGGAGAGCUGUACAACAAACACCUGUCGACACUGCCCAGCGCGAGCAAAGCAUGACAUGGCAAAGGGCACACAUCCUAAGUGAGCCACGUGAUGAGUGUCUGCACGUGGAUGGACCAGGGUGGCCUCCAUCCAAUCUUGAGCAAGCCUGUGGCCUUGGGAAGGUCAUGCUCUCCAUUCCAUGGGUAAGGAAAUGAAAGAGCAGAGAGGGUAAGUGCUUUUUCCAAGGUUCCCAGCUAGGAAGAGACAGAACAGGGAGGGCACAGCCAGGCCCCAGGGUCCCACAUUCGGGGACAGCUCUGAGAGGCUGACGCCACCGCGCCAGUGACGGGGUUGGGGGCAGGGAGCAUUUGCACAGGAAAGGAAAAUUUCAGAAGAAAGACCAGUCCUUUGAACAUCUUAGACUUUUACAAAAGAGAAAAAAAGCGAACAAAAACAAGAAACCCACCUCUUUGCAUUGUUCUCAUUUGUCUCAUUUUUCUUCUGAGUGGAAGCCUGGUGUCUGGGCACCCCGACUUGGAGGGGGGGUCAAAGCUCCUCUCCAGGACUGCCAGCCUGGGUCCGGGGGCUGAGGCCAGAGUUUCCAGAUUUAGCAAGUAAAAAUAUAGGAUGCACAGUUACAUGCUAAUUUCAGGCCUGCAACUUCGCCGAGGGAUGUUUGCAGAGCAUGGGGCUGAGCGGAGUGUGGCCAGAGCGCCAAAGAGUGCCCCCCCCACCCGCUCGGUGACCCGCGGCACCUGCAGCCGCAGCCCCUGGCAGGCCCUGUAUUUAUUUAUGCUUUUAAUGAAAGCAAAUCCAGCCUCACCGACUCUGGAGAACUGUAACAUGAUGACUCUUGUGAGAAGUGGACACACCUGGCUUUUCCCAGCCUGCCGGCCCCACGGGCCGCUUCACACGCCGCCGUCGGAUGUUCACGGAGCCCCUCUGCACACGGCACUGAGGGAGGGAGGGCCGCCCCUGCCCCCACUCACUCACCGUCCACCUGGGGGUGUGGGAGCGCCACUGUUCUACCCCAGCCCCACAACAGCCCAGGGAGGUGCUGUUCUCGCCAUGGGACAGGUGAGGAAACUGAGGCACAGAGAUUUAGGAUCGUGCAGAAGCUCACGAGGCUGAUAUGUAGCAGCGCUGGGAUGGCCACCUGGGGUCUCCCUCCACCAGACGGCUGGUUUGAGCCCAGGGGGCACUUUGGAAAGCUCCACCGCCAGGCCUCCUGAGCGAACAGGACUGGUGCGGGGCCUGGUGGGAGCUCUGAAAGCUGCCGGUGGGCAGAGGUGAUCUGGCUUCUCCCUGCAGCAAAGGUCAGGGGAAGCCACCGCACCCCCACCCCCUGCACAGGAGGGGGAGGGGGAGGGGGGAGGAGGAGGAGGAACAACUUGGGGUCCCCAGGCUGCAGGGCAUGCUGGGGGCAUGGGGGGGCAUGAGCGGAAGUGCAGAGCUGGGAUGUGCUCCUGGGUCAAUAGAGGGCUGAGCUCCAAAUGGGGGCUUGCCUCGGGCUUUCCUAUCCACGAUGCUGGGGAUACCCCUUCCCCUGAGCCAAAAGCACAGGUGCGAUGUCCGCGAGGAUGCCAGUCCCUUUCCCGCCUCAGCCCAGGGCCUGGCGGUU